AGUUAAUGAACUUGAAUAAGUGUAUAUUUUGAAAAUAUAAAAUAGAAUAAAUUUUCUAUUAACUU
This 65-nucleotide transfer RNA is filed under the name Stenus clavicornis. RNAcentral's name for it is "tRNA-Ser". The record is from RNAcentral. Lineage: Eukaryota; Metazoa; Arthropoda; Insecta; Coleoptera; Staphylinidae.